This 687-nucleotide ribosomal RNA is filed under the name Pseudomonas reactans. RNAcentral's name for it is "bacterial SSU rRNA". It matches the Rfam family "Bacterial small subunit ribosomal RNA", at positions 42 to 725 of the family's 1533-position model. The record is from RNAcentral. Lineage: Bacteria; Pseudomonadati; Pseudomonadota; Gammaproteobacteria; Pseudomonadales; Pseudomonadaceae.
GGGAGCCUUACCAUGCAAGUCGAGCGGUAGAGAGAAGCUUGCUUCUCUUGAGAGCGGCGGACGGGUGAGUAAUGCCUAGGAAUCUGCCUGGUAGUGGGGGAUAACGUUCGGAAACGGACGCUAAUACCGCAUACGUCCUACGGGAGAAAGCAGGGGACCUUCGGGCCUUGCGCUAUCAGAUGAGCCUAGGUCGGAUUAGCUAGUUGGUGAGGUAAUGGCUCACCAAGGCGACGAUCCGUAACUGGUCUGAGAGGAUGAUCAGUCACACUGGAACUGAGACACGGUCCAGACUCCUACGGGAGGCAGCAGUGGGGAAUAUUGGACAAUGGGCGAAAGCCUGAUCCAGCCAUGCCGCGUGUGUGAAGAAGGUCUUCGGAUUGUAAAGCACUUUAAGUUGGGAGGAAGGGUUGUAGAUUAAUACUCUGCAAUUUUGACGUUACCGACAGAAUAAGCACCGGCUAACUCUGUGCCAGCAGCCGCGGUAAUACAGAGGGUGCAAGCGUUAAUCGGAAUUACUGGGCGUAAAGCGCGCGUAGGUGGUUUGUUAAGUUGGAUGUGAAAUCCCCGGGCUCAACCUGGGAACUGCAUUCAAAACUGACUGACUAGAGUAUGGUAGAGGGUGGUGGAAUUUCCUGUGUAGCGGUGAAAUGCGUAGAUAUCGGAAGGAACACCAGUGGCGAAGGCGAC